UCUGCUCAUAAAAUCAACUUUAUCAACCACUCAAACAUUGCUAUUGAAUGUGAAGAUAAUUGUAAGCAAGGCCAAUUCAUAUUGAAGGGAUAGAUACUUUUGUGGGUUUAUAUACUCGUACAUAAAACAAGAUCGUCGUGAAUGCGGAGGCAAAAAUCAAAAAGAUUUUUUUAACAGUGACAGAAUAAUUAGGACAAUUAACCUGCUCUUUGUAGCCUCUCUCUGGUGUGACCACCACAGGGUAAAGGCAUGCUUUUGCCAUAAUUUGUAAACUACAGGAAUGGACAUUCUAAUCUAUUCCUGUGUACUUUUUACUGACAUAUUCAUUAAUACUCCUUUUUUAUUUGCUUGAGUUAUGCACAGUCCAGGAUAUUGCUUAAUAGUUUGGAUAGUUUUGUCUCAAUGUAAAAAUUGUUAGAGUUGGUGUACUGGACUUGAUCAUAUUUUGUAUACAGAAAACCAUUUCUUUUGAGAAAUGACAAUAGAAUGGAUGAUUAGACUUGUCUUUUGAAUUUCAUGAUUUUGUCUCAUAUACUAUGAGCACCCUGAACAAUUUUUUUAUAACCUCGAAAUUUAAAGGGAAAGUAAGUCUUGAUGCUGCCUUUUCUUCUAAUCUGGAAUAUUAUGCCAGUCAUCUGAUCUGUGAGUCUGUGACAAUUGAUAACCACCCUCGUCUUUUAGACUACUUGACUGAUACAAAUAUCUCGGUGGAAAGAGAAGUCAUGAACAACAAUGAUAAGAUAUUUUCCAUCAUCAUUUUCAUAUUUUCCUAUCUGUAAAUUUUUCUUCGGAUGUAGGAGUUAAAAUAAAUUGCUAUCUCAAGUUGAUUUACCAAUUCUUUUGCACAGAUGUUGUUGGAUCAGCAAUUGGCUUCCUGGUGUUCGCCCUGAUCCUCUCUUCAUGGUCUGUUACCUUUAUGAUUGGCGGGAACCAACUUUUCGGCCCAGUGUGGGAUAAAUUGGUUAUGUACAAUGUUGCCGAUAGAUAUGGUUUAACUGAAUUGAUGUAGAUCUACAUGUUAGUGGUUUCAGUUCCAUAAUCGACAUGAAUAUGGUAUGUCUUUUCUUUUGCUGAUAUGAAUGUUCAAGUUACUGCAUUGUACUUCACGACAAUGUUAAUUGACUGAUGUUGUACUCCUUGGAGGAGUAAAUUCAUGAGCUAAAGAACCUUUAGCUGUCUAGAAAAGGGUGGCCAGAUCCUGUUUUGUUUUGAAAACAGAGAAUUCGAUCGGAACAUAAAUUUAUUUGUUAUGUGUAGCCAACAUGCUUCUUACAUCAACGAUACGCAAUCAACAACCGAAAACAAAAUACCUAGGAAGACCUAUUGCUUUUAAGAGUGUGAUCGGUUGAGAGAUUUUUUCUUGAUUUAGUUCAGCUUGAGACAUGAUAGGUUUUAAAAAAAUUCUAAUCAUUUGGUAUUUACUCUGCUCAUAAAAUCAACUUUAUCUACCACUCAAACAUUGCUAUUGAAUGUGAAGAUAAUUGUAAGCAAGGCCAAUUCAUAUUGAAGGGAUAGAUACUUUUGUGGGUUUAGAUACUCGUACAUAAAACAAGAUCGUCGUGAAUGCGGAGGGAAAAAUCUAAAAGAUUUUUUUAACAGUCACAGAAUAAUUAGGACAAUUGACCUGCUCUUUGUAGCCUCUCUCUGGUGUGACCACCACAGGGUAAAGGCAUGCUUUUGCCAUAAUUUGUAAACUACAGGAAUGGACAUUCUAAUCUAUUCCUGUGUACUUUUUACUGACAUAUUCAUUAAUACUCCUUUUUUAUUUGCUCGAGUUAUG
This 1780-nucleotide long non-coding RNA is filed under the name Olea europaea (common olive). Its description in RNAcentral is "long non-coding RNA (OEUR_LNC002515)". The record is from RNAcentral. Lineage: Eukaryota; Viridiplantae; Streptophyta; Magnoliopsida; Lamiales; Oleaceae.